RNAcentral lists this long non-coding RNA (661 nucleotides) under Physcomitrium patens. Its description in RNAcentral is "long non-coding RNA (PPAT_LNC004331)". The record is from RNAcentral. Lineage: Eukaryota; Viridiplantae; Streptophyta; Bryopsida; Funariales; Funariaceae.
CUUGCCAACUCGAAAUGCAUUUACAUUCCUAAGCCUUUGGCAACAAUUUCGACAGAUUCCGGAGCAGAUCACACCUCCACACGCAACCAUGUUACAAGGAUUCUAUCCUGUUCUGUAGCUCCUGCCUACACUCUAGUGGAUCUUCAGGUUCGUCAGCACGUUGUUGUGCACGGGGUCCGCCAAGUGGUCCAGUAGGUUCUGGAACGGGCCCACGCCUGUGAAGAUGGCCUGGGUGAAGUACCCCAACACCGCCAUCAUCGCCAACCGCCCGUUCUUGACCUCCUUCACCUUCAGCUCCUGCAACUCCUUCUCGUUCUUCCCGAAUCCCAAGAAGUUGAAGAUGGGCCCUCCUGGGUACGCCGGGUUGCCCGAUCCUCCCAAAAACUUCUCCAGCCCCAAAAAGUACUGCUUGCCCAUCGAUCCGGGCUUGUAGUAGUCCUGCGCGCGUCGGUGCUCCGCGAAUCCCAUCAACGCCAUCUCCAGCACGAACAGCGUAUACGGGUCGGCCCAGUAGCUGUAGUUGCCCACGGGCGGGAUCACGCCGCUCUGGAACCACGGGAUGGCGGUCUCCUGCGGGAUCAGCCCGAUUCUCCCCAGCACCUCAGGUGCGAUGGCACCGGCCGCUCCCAGCAUGGCGAACCGCCCGUUGAUGAUCUCGGCG